UGUCCUACGGGAGGCAGCAGUAGGGAAUUUUCGUCAAUGGGCGCAAGCCUGAUGGAGCAACGCCGCGUGGGUGAAGAAGGUCUUCGGAUCGUAAAACCCUGUUGUUAGAGAAGAAAGUGCGUGGGAGUAACUGUUCACGUUUCGACGGUGUCUAACCAGAAAGCCACGGCUAACUACGUGCCAGCAGCCGCGGUAAUACGUAGGUGGCAAGCGUUAUCCGGAUUUAUUGGGCGUAAAGGGAACGCAGGCGGUCUUUUAAGUCUGAUGUGAAAGCCUUCGGCUUAACCGGUGUAGUGCAUUGGAAA
This 305-nucleotide ribosomal RNA is filed under the name uncultured bacterium. RNAcentral describes it as "bacterial SSU rRNA". It matches the Rfam family "Bacterial small subunit ribosomal RNA", at positions 335 to 632 of the family's 1533-position model. The record is from RNAcentral.